AUAACGAUACGGGACUCGAUAUGAGGCCUCGUAAUCGGAAUGAGUACACUCUAAAUCCUUUAACAAAAAUCUAUUGGAGGGCAAGUCUGGUGCCAGCAGCCGCGGUAAUUCCAGCUCCAA
This 120-nucleotide unclassified non-coding RNA is filed under the name Cimex lectularius (bed bug). Its description in RNAcentral is "Eukaryotic small subunit ribosomal RNA". It matches the Rfam family "Eukaryotic small subunit ribosomal RNA", at positions 477 to 594 of the family's 1831-position model. The record is from Rfam by way of RNAcentral. Lineage: Eukaryota; Metazoa; Arthropoda; Insecta; Hemiptera; Cimicidae.